AUUGAACGCUGGCGGCAGGCCUAACACAUGCAAGUCGAACGGUAACAGGAAGAAGCUUGCUUCUUUGCUGACGAGUGGCGGACGGGUGAGUAAUGUCUGGGAAACUGCCUGAUUGAGGGGGAUAACUACUGGAAACGGUAGCUAAUACCGCAUAACGUCGCAAGACCAAAGAGGGGGACCUUCGGGCCUCUUGCCAUCGGAUGUGCCCAGAUGGGAUUAGCUAGUAGGUGGGGUAACGGCUCACCUAGGCGACGAUCCCUAGCUGGUCUGAGAGGAGGACCGGCGGCACUGGAGCGGAGACACGGUCCAGGCUCCUACGGGAGGCAGCAGAGGGGAAUAUUGCACAGUAGGCGCAAGUCUUAUGCAGCGAUGCCGAGUGUAAGAAGGAGACGUUCGGGUUGUAAAGUACUUUCAGCGGGGAGGAAGGGAGUAAAGUUAAUACCUUUACUCAUUGACGUUAACCGCAGAAGAAGCACCGGCUAACUCCGUG
This 490-nucleotide ribosomal RNA is filed under the name uncultured bacterium. RNAcentral's name for it is "partial 16S ribosomal RNA". It matches the Rfam family "Bacterial small subunit ribosomal RNA", at positions 30 to 507 of the family's 1533-position model. The record is from RNAcentral.